UACGUAGGGGGCGAGCGUUAUCCGGAGUUACUGGGCGUAAAGCGCACGCAGGCGGUCGCGCAAGUUUGGAGUGACAGUUUCUGGCUUAACCAGACAAGGACUUCGAAAACUGUGCGACUUGAGGGCUUCAGAGGGACAUGGAACUCCGGGUGGAGUGGUGAAAUGCGUAGAGAUCCGGAAGAACACCAAUGGCGAAGGCAGUGUCCUGGGAAGCAUCUGACGCUCAGGUGCGAAAGCUAGGGGAGCGAACAGG
RNAcentral lists this ribosomal RNA (253 nucleotides) under uncultured bacterium. Its description in RNAcentral is "partial 16S ribosomal RNA". It matches the Rfam family "Bacterial small subunit ribosomal RNA", at positions 524 to 776 of the family's 1533-position model. The record is from RNAcentral.